Molecule: ribosomal RNA, 509 nt
Filed under: uncultured Bacteroidales bacterium
Lineage: Bacteria; Pseudomonadati; Bacteroidota; Bacteroidia; Bacteroidales
Description: bacterial SSU rRNA
Rfam family: Bacterial small subunit ribosomal RNA
Source: RNAcentral
AGAGUUUGAUCCUGGCUCAGGAUGAACGCUAGCGGCAGGCUUAACACAUGCAAGUCGAGGGGCAUCGGGAGGGAAGCUUGCUUUCCUUGCCGGCGACCGGCGCACGGGUGAGUAACACGUAUGCAACCUGCCCUCUUCAGGGGGACAACCUUCCGAAAGGGAGGCUAAUCCCGCGUAUAUCGGUUUCGGGCAUCCGAGAUCGAGGAAAGAUUCAUCGGAAGAGGAUGGGCAUGCGGCGCAUUAGCUUGACGGCGGGGUAACGGCCCACCGUGGCGACGAUGCGUAGGGGUUCUGAGAGGAAGGUCCCCCACACUGGUACUGAGACACGGACCGGACUCCUACGGGAGGCAGCAGUGAGGAAUAUUGGUCAAUGGGAGAGAUCCUGAACCAGCCAAGCCGCGUGAGGGAAGACGGCCCUAUGGGUUGUAAACCUCUUUUGUCGGAGAACAAAACCCGGGACGUGUCCCGGACUGCGUGUAUCCGAAGAAAAAGCAUCGGCUAACUCCGUG